Molecule: ribosomal RNA, 252 nt
Filed under: uncultured bacterium
Lineage: Bacteria
Description: partial 16S ribosomal RNA
Rfam family: Bacterial small subunit ribosomal RNA
Source: RNAcentral
UACGAAGGGUGCAAACGUUGCUCGGAAUUAUUGGGCGUAAAGCGCACGUAGGCGGCAUUGCAAGUCGGAUGUGAAUCUUAUGGCUUAACCAUAAAAGUGCAUCCGAAACUGCAGUGCUUGAGUACUUAAGAGGAUCGCGGAAUUCCCGGUGUAGAGGUGAAAUGCGCAGAUAUCAGGAGGAACACCGAUGGCGAAGGCAGGUCUCUGGCCGAUGACUGACGCUGAGGAGCGAAAGCGUGGGGAGCGAACAGG